CUACGGGCGGCUCCAGUGAGGAAUAUUGCACAAUGGGGGGAACCCUGAUGCAGCAACGCCGCGUGGAGGAUGACGCAUUUCGGUGUGUAAACUCCUUUUAUAUGUCAAGAAAAUGACGGUAGCAUAUGAAUAAGUACCGGCUAACUCCGUGCCAGCAGCCGCGGUAAUACGGAGGGUGCAAGCGUUACUCGGUAUCACUGGGCGUAAAGGACGCGUAGGCGGGUUGGAAAGUCAGGUGUGAAAUCCUACAGCUUAACUGUAGAACUGCACUUGAAACUUCUAAUCUAGAGUAUGGGAGGGGGAGAUGGAAUUAGUGGUGUAGGGGUAAGAUCCGUAGAUAUCACUAGGAAUACCUAAAGCGAAGGCGAUCUCCUGGAACAUUACUGACGCUAAGGCGUGAAAGCGUGGGGAGCAAACAGGAUUAGAUACCCCAGUAGUC
This 439-nucleotide ribosomal RNA is filed under the name uncultured bacterium. RNAcentral's name for it is "partial 16S ribosomal RNA". It matches the Rfam family "Bacterial small subunit ribosomal RNA", at positions 339 to 795 of the family's 1533-position model. The record is from RNAcentral.